Molecule: transfer RNA, 68 nt
Filed under: Silvanus bidentatus
Lineage: Eukaryota; Metazoa; Arthropoda; Insecta; Coleoptera; Silvanidae
Description: tRNA-Pro
Source: RNAcentral
CAGAGAAUAGUUUAAAUAAAAUUUUAAUUUUGGAGAUUAAAGAUAAAUAAAUAAAUAUUUUUCUCUGA